GGAGCAUGAGGAAACAGUGGUAAAGUAAGGGAAACGGAGUUGUCUUAAAACUUAGGCUGCUCCCACAUUACAGAAAGGGGAUGGUGGGUGGAUAAAUUUCAUGCAUUAGCAAUACAAAACCUUUGCAUCAACAGCUAAACAUAAAGUAAAUGAGUUUCCAAGCAACCUGGGGAAAUAUUAGACUGGAAUAACCACAGCUUAUCUCAUAACCAAACGAAGACAGUACACAAAUGCCUGAAGACGAGGAACACCUCUACACAUAGAUGAUGUCUUAAAUGAUAAUGCUUAUGAUGAUUAGGAGAACUUUUAUUAAAACAUUGAUCAAUAAACAACAAAACAGAUGGGGCAAACCCUGCCAGACAUGUACAACACACAAACAUUCCAUACAUAUAAUUAUAGUUGUCUUAUUGAUACAGACCAAACCACAAAAACAUAUUGCCUAAUGAACCAUGAAAAAGGUUGAGGUCAGUUGAAAUAUGCCAUAUGAUAAUGUUCACCUUAUAAACAUUUCAUACACCAAUAAAAUUGAGAAUGGAAAUGGGGAAUGUGUUAAAGACAACCCAACCAAGAGCAGAAAACAGUGGAAGGUCACCAUGCAAUGGGUCUUAAAUAGUGAGAAAAUCCCACACCCAAAGUGGCUUCAGCUGGCC
This 650-nucleotide long non-coding RNA is filed under the name Mytilus galloprovincialis (Mediterranean mussel). Lineage: Eukaryota; Metazoa; Mollusca; Bivalvia; Mytilida; Mytilidae. The record is from RNAcentral.